This 76-nucleotide transfer RNA is filed under the name Bifidobacterium sp. SO4. RNAcentral describes it as "tRNA-Ala". It matches the Rfam family "tRNA". From Rfam's summary of the family: Transfer RNA (tRNA) molecules are approximately 80 nucleotides in length. Their secondary structure includes four short double-helical elements and three loops (D, anti-codon, and T loops). The record is from RNAcentral. RNAcentral also lists the same sequence under 1 other name. Lineage: Bacteria; Bacillati; Actinomycetota; Actinomycetes; Bifidobacteriales; Bifidobacteriaceae.
GGGGCAUUAGCGCAGCUGGUAGCGCAUCUGCUUUGCAAGCAGAGGGUCACCGGUUCGAAUCCGGUAUGCUCCACCA